RNAcentral lists this ribosomal RNA (492 nucleotides) under uncultured bacterium. RNAcentral describes it as "partial 16S ribosomal RNA". It matches the Rfam family "Bacterial small subunit ribosomal RNA", at positions 29 to 507 of the family's 1533-position model. The record is from RNAcentral.
AGUGAACGCUGGCGGUAGGCCUAACACAUGCAAGUCGAACGGCAGCACAGUAAGAGCCUGCUCUUACGGGUGGCGCGUGGCGGAAGGGUGAGGAAUACAUCGGAAUCUACUUUUUCGUGGGGGAUAACGUAGGGAAACUCACGCUAAUACCGCAUACGACCUACGGGUGAAAGCAGGGGAUCUUCGGACUUUGCGCGAUUGAAUGAGCCGAUGUCGGAUUAGCUAGUUGGCGGGGUAAAGGCCCACCAAGGCGACGAUCCGUAGCUGGUCUGAGAGGAUGAUCAGCCACACUGGAACUGAGACACGGUCCAGACUCCUACGGGAGGCAGCAGUGGGGAAUAUUGGGCAAUGGGCGCAAGCCUGAUCCAGCCAUACCGCGUGAGUGAUGAAGGCCUUCGGGUUGUAAAGCCCUGUUGUUGGGAAAGAAAAACAGCAGGUUAAUACCCCGCUGUUCUGACGGUACCCAAAGAAUAAGCACCGGCUAACUUCGUG